Esox lucius (northern pike) is the source of this 3838-nucleotide long non-coding RNA. The record is from Ensembl. NCBI's taxonomy places the organism in Eukaryota, Metazoa, Chordata, Actinopteri, Esociformes, Esocidae.
CAAAUAACAUAAAACCGACUAGCUUAGCUAACUAGCUAGACUUCUCCAAACUGGAAUCUAAUUCUGUAGCUGAGUUUGGCAUGGCUAUCAGUACGCGCUCUCUCCACCUACGUGCUCAGAACAAUGGCCAUUGAGCCCACGACAUGACUGCUUUUCGCAUUAUGUAGUGCUCAAGUUAAAAACGUAGCGGUUACGUUUCUAAAAACAAGAUCAUACAUUUGAAAAUCGAGUUUCAUGUAGAACUAUUCUCUACCUGGAAACCAAAAAAAGAUCAUACGUGGAACCUAAAGGACUGAUUUUGGUAAAGCCGAAGAUUCCGUGUGAUACUCUAGGUCUGGAACUGCUGGGUGUUCUUAAUAAGAAGAUCGCUCCAGCACAGGUCUAAUUAUGCUGGUACGUGUAGAUGAGUGUCGUCACUCAGUGUACAGUACAGUAUUGAGAACUAAUUGGCACAAGGGUAAACUCUCAGAUGAAAAUCAGACAGUCACUGUGGUUUCCUAAGGACACGCCAGUUUCAACCCUCUGUGUUCCCUGCAUGCAGUGUUCAGUAAUGAGAGCAGCAGCAGUUGCUCAUGCCCAGUUUCCAGACAGCCUCUUGCUGAGAGACAGCGAGUGUCUUUCCAGGCAGGCAGGCAGGAGAUAAAGAACUGAUAGAGCCUUCUGGCAGAAGCCCAUCCAGUUCAGUGGGUGUAGCGUUUUUAUGGAGACCACUGGCUAGUUGCCAGGCAAGAUACGUCGGUCUGCCUGGUUGUGUGUGUGUGUGUGUGUGUGUGUGUGCCUCUGCUUGAUAACAGGAGUGUGCUGAGGGAUGGGGCAGCGUUGAGGAAAACAAGCACGCCAGGGGUGGGGUUUGGGGCUCUGCAUGUACGUGUAUGUGAUUCUGUGCCUGCGUGUGCCGGCUCACGCAAUGGAGCCCUCCUAACAGAAACAACUGCAAAAAACAUUUAGGGCAAGUGUUAAACUCCAAUACUUCUUUUCCCUAACUCAGGAUUCACAGCAGCAGACCAAGCCCCUGCUCUCGUGCUUUCCCUCCCCCCCUUUUAUUCAUGCUCCCCCUUUCUUCCCUCCCCCUCAUAUAUACUGUUCUCUCUGGGCUGGCUGUUGUUGACUGACUGACUGACUGACAGUACUGAUUUACUCCAGGCUUGGACGGCUGCCAGCUCAUCUCAAACAAUUGCACGAGUUCCUGGGUCGACAGAGCCAAGUUCUAGAGGCUACAAACUAAAUAGUAGACUGGUUCUAUCUAUGCACAGGCGAGUCCUGAAAGCCAGGGCCCCAUGCAGCACAAUAUGCAGCUGUGGAGAGACCCCACCUCACAGCCUGGACACCACCACCCGCUUCAUAUUUCUCGUCUGUACAAUGUAUAUAUUUUGACAUCAUGUUCAGUCCCAUAAGCACCACACUUUUUUUUGGUUUCUGGUUUAAAGAUAGACCAACUGGCAGGUUUCUGUUAGAUUAACUAAAAACAGGCACAGAGAAAGAAAGCGAUAUGAUUGCACUCACAGGGCUUGUAUUGUGCCCCAUGCAACUGUAGGUCUAAUUAAAAUAAUAACGUUUGUUAAAUGGUUGGAGUUAAUACUUUUGGAUUGAAAAUGUCGACCCAAGUUUGAGCAGAAACCAGAUUUGAUCCCAUUCACGUUUUCUCAUAUUGGCUUAUUACCACUUUCUGUACACCAAGCAAAUAGUAGCCUCCAAGUACAUCUGUAUCAUUGCAUUCUUCUUACCAUCCCUCUAGUUUGGCUAUUUCUGAGAAACCUUUCCUGUCACAGAAGGCAAAACUACAAUCCACAAUGCCUUACCAAUUGAAGCAGGCUUAAUUUUUUUCUCUGAAAAAAGUAAACCAGAGGGCUUACUCUUUGUGGUCUGGACCAAAGCUGUUGUCAGGGAUGCAGGGUUGGAACGUUUAAACUCCUCUUCCGCCACAGUCAAUCAUUUUGCUUACUAGCUUACUUGAGUCACACACUGUGUAGCUCAGCUGGCAUUGUGCUUGCAAUGCCACUGUGGUGGGUUUGAUUCCAAUGGAGGAAAAGACAAAAAAGUAUGAAAACUGAUGCACUUACAACUGUCAUUUUCUCUGAAUAAGAUAUCUGUUUAAUGGUGUAAACGUUAGUUAAAUGGCUGAUGUGAAAUUCACUAUCAAAACAGAGCUAGCUAGUUAAAUACAAGGGCCAUCACCAGCCUUGCCUUGCUUGAUCUUCAUGGGUUGGGCGGGGUACUCCGCGGAUGUUGAAACAGAGCAUGCACCCUGGAUAUGAAGAGUUGGACUUCUCUCGAUGAACAUGUGCCAUUGGGCUUAUUUACAUUAUGAAAGAGGGAAUAAAAUGCUAGAUAGACUUAAAUCUAGUGGCCAGAGAAUGAUUACAAAUCUGUUGCAAUUUAUUGAAAACUCAAAACUGAUACAUCGCAUGUACAUUCAGGUUCUUUGUCGUGACACUCCAAAUGGAGCUCAGAUGCAUCCUGUGAUCAUCCUUCAGAUGAUUUGGAUGGAUUCUUCCUAUAACAAACUCAAUUGAGCUUCAGAGUUUCUCUGCAGAGGUGUGAGAGCCUGUCAGAAGGACAACCUUUUCUGCAGCACUCCAUCAAUUGGGCCUGUAUGAUAGAGUAGCUAGACAAAAGCCUAUCCUGGGUAAAUGGCAUAUGAGAAGGUUACUAAAGAACUCUCAGGGCAUGAAGAAAAAUAUUUUCUGUUUUGACAAGACCAAAAUCAAGCAAUUAAGCAUUAAUGCCAAUGCCAAAAAAAGGUUACCGCUCAUCACCUGGCUAAAGGUGAAGCAUGGUGGUGGGAGCAUUAUGUUAUGGGGAUGCUUCUCAGUGCUUCUCAAAGAGGACCUUAGACUGGGGGUGAAUAUUCAUCUUUCAGCAUGACAACGACUCAAAGCACACAGCCAAGACAGUACAGGAGUGAAUGUGACAUGUGAAUGUCCUUGAGUGGCCCAGCCAAAGCCCUGACUUGAACUCCAAUGAACAUCUGUAGGGAGACCUGAGGUUUACAGUCCACCGACACUCCCCAUCCAGGAUAUUCAAGGAAGAAAAGGAGGAACUGCCCAAAUCCAGAUGUGCAAAGCUGGUAGAGAUAUACCCAAGACUCAAUGCUGCUGUUUUGGCUGCCAAAGACGCUUCUACAAUGUGCUAAAUGAAGUGUUGGAAUAUUUACAAUUUUAAAUUAAGUCUAUGAUUGCCAUAAAUACAAAUGAUGUACUAUACUGUCCCAUGUACAUUAAGAUAACUCUAUUUCCAAAUUUUCUCUUUCUUCUUUUCCAUGAAUAACUUAAUUUAACUGACUUGUUGAUAAGGAGGCGAUACACAAAAACUUUGUUGCACCAACAAAAACCUAUAAUAUACUGUAUAUGCAACCAAUUAAACUAUGAACUUGAAAGGCUAACAGAAAUUCAGACCGGUCUGUUUCUGCCAUAAUGCUAUAACAAGAUGUUGAUUUAAGGAAAGACAGCUCCAUUAAGAAGAGUCACUCUGUGAGGUUAGUAUUGUAGUUACUGGGUUUGAGCAUAAAGCUUCAGAAACCCUCCAUCCCAUUCCCAUUGUCAUUCACUCACAUGCUGAGGUCACUGUGCUGGCCAUUACAGCCAAUUAACAGACUCUUCCCUUACAUUGAAGCUGGCGUUAUUACCCAGUGGACCCAUGUAAACUCCUGAACCCAGACUCAUCUCAGAGACAACACAGAGACAUCUGGAGCUAGAAGUCACCUGGGAUGGACUCAGACUCCAGUGAUCGUCUCUGAGCUGGCAGCUCAUUAUUAACCUGAUGACACCAUGGGAGCAUCAACACAUUUCACAGGAUCAACAAAACAGAAAAUGCUAUAUAUUUUAUUAUUAACUUUGGG